UACGUAGGGGGCUAGCGUUGUCCGGAAUCAUUGGGCGUAAAGCGCGUGUAGGCGGCUCGAUAAGUCCGCUCUGAAAGCCCGGGGCUCAACCCCGGGAGGCGGGUGGAUACUGUCGAGCUCGAGUCCGGAAGAGGCAAGUGGAAUUCCUGGUGUAGCGGUGAAAUGCGCAGAUAUCAGGAGGAACACCAAUGGCGAAGGCAGCUCACUGGGACGGUAUUGACGCUGAGACGCGAAAGCGUGGGGAGCAAACAGG
This 253-nucleotide ribosomal RNA is filed under the name uncultured bacterium. RNAcentral's name for it is "partial 16S ribosomal RNA". It matches the Rfam family "Bacterial small subunit ribosomal RNA", at positions 524 to 776 of the family's 1533-position model. The record is from RNAcentral.